AACGAACGCUGGCGGCAGGCCUAACACAUGCAAGUCGAGCGGACCCUUCGGGGUUAGCGGCGGACGGGUGAGUAACGCGUGGGAAUAUGCCCUUCUCUACGGAAUAGUCCUGGGAAACUGGGGGUAAUACCGUAUACGCCCUUUGGGGGAAAGAUUUAUCGGGGAAGGAUUAGCCCGCGUUGGAUUAGGUAGUUGGUGGGGUAAUGGCCUACCAAGCCGACGAUCCAUAGCUGGUUUGAGAGGAUGAUCAGCCACACUGGGACUGAGACACGGCCCAGACUCCUACGGGAGGCAGCAGUGGGGAAUCUUAGACAAUGGUGGCAACCCUGAUCUAGCCAUGCCGCGUGAGUGAUGAAGGCCUUAGGGUUGUAAAGCUCUUUCAGCUGGGAAGAUAAUGACGGUACCAGCAGAAGAAGCCCCGGCUAACUCCGUG
Molecule: ribosomal RNA, 433 nt
Filed under: uncultured bacterium
Lineage: Bacteria
Description: partial 16S ribosomal RNA
Rfam family: Bacterial small subunit ribosomal RNA
Source: RNAcentral